UCUAAUCAGUGAAACUAAUCCCCCUGUGAAAAAGCAGGAAUAAACUUGCAAGACGAGAAGACCCUUUGGAGCUUUAGACAAUGUGAUGACCCCCCCCCCCCUCAUCCCUAGUCUUCGGUUGGGGCAACCACGGAAAAUAAAAGAACCUCCGAGAUAUACACCCGCAAAAGCCACACCUUAAAACAUCAAACUGACAUUAAUUGACCCAGCAUUCUGACCAACGAACC
This 227-nucleotide ribosomal RNA is filed under the name Diasporus sp. 1 AB-2016. RNAcentral's name for it is "partial 16S ribosomal RNA". The record is from RNAcentral. Lineage: Eukaryota; Metazoa; Chordata; Amphibia; Anura; Eleutherodactylidae.